UCCGGAGUAGCUCAGCGGUAGAGCGGGUGGCUGUUAACCACUAGGUCGGGGGUUCAAAUCCCUCCUCCGGAG
Molecule: transfer RNA, 72 nt
Filed under: Calditrichota bacterium
Lineage: Bacteria; Pseudomonadati; Calditrichota
Also listed under: 1 other name
Description: Calditrichaeota bacterium (activated sludge metagenome) tRNA-Asn
Rfam family: tRNA
About the family: Transfer RNA (tRNA) molecules are approximately 80 nucleotides in length.
Source: RNAcentral